UCAAAUCUGGAUAAGUCUGAUCAAGCACAUACAUUUAUGAUUGGAAGCACAUGCAUUUAUGAUUGGAAGGUUCAAUUGUGGCUCACAUUUUUACAACGAAUCUUUCACGAUAUGAAUUCUUUGGAGAGAUAAGAAGUAUUGUAAGACGGAGUAUUUAAGAGAUGGAUGGAUAACAGAACACUGCACACUCAUGGAAGCAAUUGGCCAGUGACUGCAGACGGUCACUUGCAAACAUGUCCUAAAUAUCCACAUGCCCAUCAUUUCAUUUGUUCCCAGUUAAAUCUGAGACUGCAGUUUGCAAGAUCCAAGAUUGGAGUAAAGCUUUAACACACCUUAGGCCCGUAGCUCAGGUCGUCGUCAAUGGGCGUCACACCAUGGGGCGAUUUAGAUAUUAUGCGGAUGAAGUGCCUGCCACUCUGCCAGCAAGUAAAGCCAAGAGAUCAACAGGUAGUUAUUUAACAGGAGACUUGACAGCUGAUACUAAUCGAAAGCCAAAACUUCUAUAUGGUUAAAACCUCAGUAUAAAAAGGACAAUGUAAAAAUAUUAUGAUAACAGGUAGGACGGCCAUGUGUAUCACGCAUUCACACCCAUGAAAACCGCAAAGUGAUCCUACAAUGAAUAUUUUGGCAGCAUAUCCCAAAACUUUGCUCAGGUCCACAAAUGGUUCAUUUCAAUGCCAACAUGAACUUGACAACUUGAGCUUCAUACGAGUAAAAAUUAUGAUUCCUUGUCAGCUCCUAUCAACAUGGCAACAAGAAUUAGUAUAUUGAGAAGGCUGAGACAGGAAUUACUGCAUCGAUCUCUUAGAUUCAAAUUUACACUCUUAAAACAGGAUAAACACCUCUGCAAUUCUCGACUAAAGAAAGGGCAACUUACUGUGUGUUGCCCAAGUGAAUGAGCUAGUUGACGCCUUGGGGCUCGGUCUUCCUUAAAUGAUAACCAAAUGAAAUAUCCACUUGCAUAAUUGCAUUAACAUACAAGAAAUAGCCGGUACCCACAGCCACACCGACAUCACCAACCUCCCUUGCCCCCUUCUAUAAACACUCAUCUCCACCGCUGAGCUCCUCCCUAUCGAUUGCAACUGCAACACACACACCCCAUCAUCACCACUACCACCAACAAAGAGACUUUUGCCAGUGAUAACAGUAUCGCAAGAUGCUGGGAGGGCUCAAGGACAAGCUGACAGGGAAAAAUGCAAAUAAGAUCAAAGGCACGGCUGUGCUGAUGAGCCGAAAAAUACUGGACCCAAGGGACUUCACUGCCUCACUCUUCGACAACAUCCAAGAGCUCGUUGGCAACAGCAUCACCUGCCAACUUGUCAGUGCCACUGUCACCGAUCCAAGUACCACUCUAUUUCUCCUUACUUACUUUACUCAAGCCUGUGCAUAUUUGCUAUGUAGAAAGAAUUGACGGUCAGCACAGAUUGAAGGAAACGAGCUGCAAAGCACCAGUGACACAAAUAAAGUGACUAACCUAAUGUCUGUUGAAUGUAUACUUUCUGCAGACAAUGGGGGCAGGGGCAUUGUUGGAUCAGAGGCAAAGAUGGAGCAAGGGUUGUCAAACUUACCAUCGCUAACACAUGCAGAAUCCAACUUCAAGGUAAGGUUCGACUGGGACAUGGACAAGCAUGGUGUGCCAGGAGCCAUCAUUGUCAAGAACCACCACAGCACCAAGUUUUUCCUCAAGACCAUCAUCCUCAACGAUGUCCCUGGCUGUGGCACUAUUGUGUUUGUUGCCAACUCCUGGAUCUACCCUCUUGAAAAGUACCACUACAACCGUAUCUUCUUUGCAAACAAUGUAAGUAAGUUUGUUCUUGGCAAAUCUUCUUACAAUCGUAUCUUCUUUGCAAACAAUAUAAAUCUGUUCUCAGCAAAUCUUCUUACCUGUUUAAGAUAAUUGUGGGUAAUUUAUCACCCUGCAAAUACAUAGUUUAAAUGAUAGCGAAGGACUAUGUUAUAUUCAAUUAAUCAUCCCAAUCAUUGGUCAGUAAAAAUGUCCAUAAUUAAGCCCCUAAACUGCAUGCAGAACAGCCAAAGUGAAGCGGUAAUAGGCAUCAACAGUUUACGAAAUUACAAACAUAAAAAAUAAUGAGUAGACAAAAACGGAAGUUUGUGACAACCACAAGAAUGCGUCGGAUGCAUCUAUCAUGCAGUUUAAAAGUCUGUGAUGCAAAGUAAGACCUUCGUCCGUUCUGGAAUUUGGAUAUUAGUAAUUCAUAUAUUUUUGCCUUUAAUUCCAUGCAGUCCUACCUGCCCAGUCAAAUGCCAAAGGCACUGAGUCCAUACCGUGAGGAUGAACUCCGGUACCUCAGAGGGGAAGAUAGGCAAGGGCCAUAUCAAGAGCAUGACCGCAUAUACCGCUAUGACGUCUACAAUGACCUCGGUGAGCCUGACCGGGACAACCCACGCCCUGUUCUAGGCGGCUCACAGAAGCACCCGUACCCGCGCCGUGGUCGCACUGGCAGGAGUCCAACUAAAAAGGGUACGGUGUUCCUCUUGGCUCUCUGCAUCUAGAGAUCGCUUCUUAAUAGAUCUAACCUCCAUGAAUGCACAUGGCUGCAGAUCCAAACUCAGAAAGCAGAUUAUCCUUGCUGGACCAAAUCUACUUGCCAAGCGACGAGCGCUUCGCGCGCCUCAAGAUGUCGGACUUUGCUGGGCACUCACUCAAGGCCAUUGUUCAGGGAAUCUUGCCUGCCAUCCGCACAUAUGUUGAUCUCACGCCUGGUGAGUUUGACUCGUUCGAGGACAUUAUGAAGCUCUACAAGGGUGGCCUGAAGCUGCCCAACAUCCCAGCACUAGAGGAGCUGCGCAAGAACUUCCCGGUCCAGCUUAUCAAGGACCUGCUCCCAGUUGGAGGCAGCUACCUGCACAAACUCCCCAAACCUGAUAUUAUCAAAGGUGCUGUGAUUAGCCAUGUGUCAAUUACUGUAGUCAAUGGGCAGUGGGCUUAUUUUUGAACUAUUGUACUAUGCAUUUUUGCAGAGAAUGAGGUUGCUUGGAGGACGGAUGAGGAGUUUGCACGAGAGAUUCUUGCUGGUCUGAACCCCAUGGUCAUCAGGCGUCUCACGGUGAACUAUCCAACACUACACAGUUUUUGAUGGUUUGUUGCUCCUGGCAAGCAUGACAAACAAGUUUGAUGCGACUGUAUCAUUCUCUGUUCACAGGAAUUUCCACCAAAAAGUACUCUUGAUCCUAGCAAGUAUGGUGACCAGACUAGCACAAUCACCCCAGCUCACAUUGAGAAGAACCUCGAAGGCCUUAGCGUGCAACAGGUUAGACAGUGAUCCAUUUCAUUUAAAGUACCAUGAAUAGUCAUUUAACAAGCCACCAUUAAUUGAUUUGCUGUCAAUCAUGACUCAACACAGGCAUUGGAUAACAACAGGCUCUACAUUCUGGAUCAUCAUGAUAAUUUCAUGCCAUUCCUCAUUGAAAUUAACAGCCUAGAUGGUAUUUUCACCUAUGCCACAAGGACUCUGUUGUUCUUACGUGGUGAUGAUACCCUGAAGCCGCUAGCAAUUGAACUGAGCUUGCCACACAUUGAGGGCAACCUGACAACCGCAAAGAGCAAGGUCUAUACACCUGCAUCGAGUGGCACCGAGUCUUGGGUGUGGCAGCUGGCCAAGGCUUAUGUUGCUGUCAACGACUCUGGUUGGCACCAGCUAAUCAGCCACUGGUACAUAGUGGCAACUGUAGCUCUUUGGUAAAAACAGUAAGCACACCAUUUCAUUGAUGUAACAUGUUGAUGUAAAAUCUUGUAGGCUGAACACACAUGCUGUGAUGGAACCCUUUGUGAUCGCUACCAACCGGCAGCUCAGUGUGGCACACCCCUUGUACAAGAUCCUCCAGCCACACUAUCGCGACACUAUGACAAUCAAUGCAUUGGCACGGCAGACACUCAUCAACGCCGGUGGCAUCUUCGAACAAACUGUCUUUCCUGGCAAACAUGCACUGGCAAUGUCUUCUGCAGUUUACAGGAGCUGGAAUUUCACAGAACAGGGCCUUCCGGAUGAUCUAAUCAAGAGGUAAUCAACCAGCAAGAGCCACCUCAGCAAUAGGAACAACCAAAAACCACGUAACUUUAAAUAACAUGUUACAAUUUUGUAAUGCAGAGGCAUUGCCAUCAAGGACCCAUCCAGCCCAUCCAAGGUGCAGUUGCUGAUCAAGGACUACCCUUAUGCAACAGAUGGCCUGGAGGUCUGGCAAGCGAUUGAGCAGUGGGUCACUGAGUACUGUGCCAUCUACUACCCGAAUGAUGGUGUUCUCCAGGGCGACGUGGAGUUGCAGGCAUGGUGGAAGGAGGUGCGGGAAGUCGGGCAUGGCGAUCUCAAGGAUGCGGAUUGGUGGCCCAAGAUGCAAACCGUGCCCGAGCUCACCAAGGCCUGCACCACAAUCAUCUGGAUAGCAUCAGCACUCCAUGCAGCCGUCAACUUCGGGCAGUACCCUUACGCGGGCUAUCUUCCAAACCGUCCGACUGUGAGCCGGCGGCCAAUGCCUGAUCCUGGUUCCAAGGAGUACACAGAGCUGGAGCAGAACCCAGAGAAGUUCUUCAUCCGCACCAUCACCAGCCAGUUCCAAACAAUCCUCGGCAUCUCGCUCAUCGAGGUUCUAUCACAGCAUUCAUCGGAUGAGAUCUAUCUUGGGCAGCGUGACACGCCUGAGUGGACAUCAGACCUCAAGGCGCUGGAGGCUUUCAAGAGAUUCAGCAGGAAGCUGGUGGAGAUUGAGAGCAAAGUGUUGAGCAUGAACAAGGACCCCCGGCUCAAGAACCGGGUUGGUCCAGCCAACUUCCCCUACACGCUGCUGUUCCCCAACACGUCGGAUAACAAGGGGGCGGCAGCCGGGAUCACAGCCAGGGGCAUCCCCAACAGCAUCUCAAUAUGAGAUUGCUGCAUGUGCCAUGCGUUGGUGUAGGUUUGUGGCUGUGUUAAUUAGGUCCUAGGGUACAAGCAAGGAAGCUACUUAGUACUAUUUGCUAGUGCGCACGAAUAAAGCUUCAAAUGAACAAUAAAGUGACUGUUACGUUUGUUCCAAUUUUAAGCAGUUCCACACAGCAAACUCAAGUGAAGAGGCGAUGCUGCAACAGGAAUGAUUAAUCAUGCAGCCUUACUUCUCUGAUGGGAUGAAUGCUAUCUCACUCAAUCACAAAUUGAUUAUCGUAAAUUUAGCAUAACCAGUAGCGGAAUCAGAAACUAAACACAACGCAGGAUAACAAAGGCGACCAAGUGAGGUUACCGCCAAUUUUCCAUCUAGCUGUAUAUUGCGCCCGCCUAAGUUGUCAAGGCAACCCCCGCAACGGCAUGCCCUCCUUCGGAAGCUCUGGUUACACAUCAAGGCAGCCACUCCACUCUGGAACGCACGAGCCCAUCCAGUCUACCCGCAAGCAGCGAGAGUUUCGGGCGUCUUACUCACUCACUCACUACGUCGAGCUCCGCAUUGCGAAUCUUACAGGGUAUGAGAGGAGAGGGGAGGCCGGGAGGGGAAGCGGAGGAGGGGGUGGUACUGAACCUGAGGAAGCGGAGGGGAGGAGGGAGCCGCCGUGGUCUACGCGCCCAUGCCCCCACGCAAGGCCGCCGCCGCCGCCGCCGCCGCCACCACCGCGGGAUCCUCGGAGAAGCCGAUCGCCGAUCCAACUGGGGCGGUAUUCUCUCGCUCGUAAGCUACGCC
RNAcentral lists this long non-coding RNA (5664 nucleotides) under Oryza brachyantha (malo sina). Its description in RNAcentral is "long non-coding RNA (OBRA_LNC000900)". The record is from RNAcentral. Lineage: Eukaryota; Viridiplantae; Streptophyta; Magnoliopsida; Poales; Poaceae.